UACGUAGGGUGCAAGCGUUAAUCGGAAUUACUGGGCGUAAAGCGUGCGCAGGCGGUUUUGUAAGUCUGUCGUGAAAUCCCCGGGCUUAACCUGGGAAUGGCGAUGGAGACUGCAAGGCUAGAGUUUGGCAGAGGGGGGUAGAAUUCCACGUGUUAGCAGGUGAAAUGCGUAGAUAUGUGGAGGAACACCGAUGGCGAAGGCAGCCCCUGGGCUAACACUGACGCCUCAUGCACGAAAGACGUGGGGAGC
RNAcentral lists this ribosomal RNA (249 nucleotides) under uncultured bacterium. Its description in RNAcentral is "partial 16S ribosomal RNA". It matches the Rfam family "Bacterial small subunit ribosomal RNA", at positions 524 to 769 of the family's 1533-position model. The record is from RNAcentral.